This 453-nucleotide ribosomal RNA is filed under the name uncultured bacterium. RNAcentral's name for it is "SSU rRNA". It matches the Rfam family "Bacterial small subunit ribosomal RNA", at positions 26 to 518 of the family's 1533-position model. The record is from RNAcentral.
AGAACGAACGCUGGCGGCAGGCCUAACACAUGCAAGUCGAACGCGAAAUCACCUUCGGGUGGUGGAGAGUGGCAGACGGGUGAGUAACGCGUGGGAAUCUACCCAAUGGUACGGAAUAACUCAGGGAAACUUGAGCUAAUACCGUAUGUGCCCGAAAGGGGAAAGAUUUAUCGCCAUUGGAUGAGCCCGCGUCGGAUUAGCUAGUUGGUGGGGUAACGGCCCACCAAGGCGACGAUCCGUAGCUGGUCUGAGAGGAUGAUCAGCCACACUGGGACUGAGACACGGCCCAGACUCCUACGGGAGGCAGCAGUGGGGAAUAUUGGACAAUGGGCGCAAGCCUGAUCCAGCCAUGCCGCGUGAGUGAUGAAGGCCCUAGGGUUGUAAAGCUCUUUCGACGGGACGAUAAUGACGGUACCCGUAGAAGAAGCCCGGCUAACUCGUGCCAGCAGCCGC